This 497-nucleotide ribosomal RNA is filed under the name uncultured bacterium. RNAcentral's name for it is "partial 16S ribosomal RNA". It matches the Rfam family "Bacterial small subunit ribosomal RNA", at positions 28 to 507 of the family's 1533-position model. The record is from RNAcentral.
GAUGAACGCUGGCGGCGUGCCUAAUACAUGCAAGUCGAGCGAACAGACGAGGAGCUUGCUCCUCUGACGUUAGCGGCGGACGGGUGAGUAACACGUGCAUAACCUACUUAUAAGACUGGGAUAACUUCGGGAAACCGGAGCUAAUACCGGAUAAUAUAUUCAACCGCAUGGUUCAAUAGUGAAAGACGGCUUUGCUGUUACUUAGAGAUGGUUCCGCGCCGCAUUAGCUAGUUGGUAAGGUAACGGCUAACCAAGGCGACGAUGCGUAGCCGACCUGAGAGGGUGAUCGGCCACACUGGAACUGAGACACGGUCCAGACUCCUACGGGAGGCAGCAGUGGGGAAUCUUCGACAAUGGGCGAAAGCCUGACGGAGCAACGCCGCGUGAGUGAUGAAGGUCUUCGGAUCGUAAAACUCUGUUAUUAGGGAAGAACAAAUGUGUAAGUAACUAUGCACGUCUUGACGGUACCUAAUCAGAAAGCCACGGCUAACUACGUG